RNAcentral lists this long non-coding RNA (1489 nucleotides) under Homo sapiens (human). RNAcentral's name for it is "PREDICTED lncRNA (TCONS_00189919)". Lineage: Eukaryota; Metazoa; Chordata; Mammalia; Primates; Hominidae. The record is from RNAcentral.
GCUGGUGCUGGGAGUAGGGCGCAAGAUGUCGGCGGAUGCAGCUCCGAGGAGGUAGGCAGUGGGAGCCGGCGUUCAGUCCGGCCCGUGCCAACAGUGGUUCCUCUCUCCCCCGUAGUUCGAGGAGACCACGCGCUGCCCCUCUGGCACGAUCGUGGAUGAACCCCCUGGCAACUGAAAUGGGAAAGGCAGCGCCCCCGACUCUGGGGACUGGACCGAAGUCCACGGUAGUGACAGCUGCCAGACCCUGAGGAGAGGACGAGAAGACCCGAGGCCUCUGCUACGAACACUGGCAGCCGAUGGAAAAUUCAGACGGAUUUGGGACAGUAUGCAGAGUUCUCCAAGCGACAGAUUAACAGAGGCUCUUGAAGAAUAACUGCGUAAUCACGUGUUCUGCUCAAAAGAAGGCCUGAAUGCCCAGUGCCUUAUUUGGCUUUCAGGGUUGGUGAAAGAAAAAGCAAAGUAGAUGCUUUCUAAUGCUAAGUCAUUUAAUGUAGCACCAUUCCUUGAACUUCUUUCAUCUCUAAGGUCGUCCCUUUCACCUGAUGAUGACCUUUGGGCCAUCGUACAGGCAUGGUCUUGCGGUGUCACCCAGGCUAGAGUACAGUGGUGCAAUCAUAGCUCACUGCUGCCUCAAACUCCUAGACUCAAGCAAUCCUCCUGCUUCAGCCUCCCGAGUAGCUGGGACUACAGGUAGAUGAUGGGCUCCACGGGAACAGAGCAAACGUUCGCUCCUGCUCCUACACGGUGUUUCCUCUAAACCUGAGGCUCAGCCGACUUGUCAUCACUUAAAACCCAAUUCAGAGCGGGGGGGCACUGCCAGUGAAUAGUUCAUCACCGACUCAGUUUCCCCAUGUGUAUGCUGUGGUAUUGGAUCAGCAACGAGAUAAGAAGAUCUCUCCCAUUUCCAAGCGUCUAUGAUGAUUCUGAGGCACAAGGUCACAUUUGACAGUACUAGGAAACCCAGGAAACAAGAAGCAAAGAUGACAAAGGCUGUGUCUGCCUGGGCAGACGAUCUAUUUGGACAAGAUAAUAGACCCAGGCAUGGACAUGCUCUCCAAGAAAGAUGCCCUGACAGCUGCUCACACUGAAGCUGAAUCGAACAUUCCAAUCCUUAGAGGUUCCAGCGAAGAUCUUGAAGUCUCCCUGAGCCAUUGACACAAUGGCCAUGCCAUCCCAGUGAUAAAACACAAAUUGUGGCCUUGUUUUGGACAGAAAUAAAGAGCCCAGUUUGUUAGUGAUUUACUGAUAAUAACUGAAUCGAGUACUAAUACUUGGCGAUUUUAAAAGCCAUCAUGUUAAAAAGACCACCUGAUUCCCAGUGACCCUGCAGUGACUGGGUUUGGGCAGCUCGUCCCCUGCACCUGUUUGGGGCUGUGCCAGCCACUUCCAGUGAGAACAUCGCAUUAACUUGCGGUCGCAGACCUGGCUGGACCCCUUGAACCAAAUUCCUUUCUGACCUUAUCAGACCCCAAAUAAAAGAGCUCACCAG